Molecule: non-coding RNA, 224 nt
Organism: Pelobates cultripes (western spadefoot toad)
Lineage: Eukaryota; Metazoa; Chordata; Amphibia; Anura; Pelobatidae
Source: the annotation of a GenBank genome assembly
CUCAAUGUCUGCUAGCUUUGUCUCAUACUGCUGCAUUUGAUUGUGCAGCCCUGCCAUCUCCUCUUCCAUUCCCCUGUGGGCCUCGUCCGGCUCCGCCACUUUAUUUUCAGUCCCAGCAGUUCUCACCUCUAAUUCUUUUAGGUCUUUAUGCAGUGCCCCAAUUGUGGCUUUGAAGCUGUUCUCUAGUCUUGCAGACAUCUGUUCCAACAUUGUCCGCAUCAUCU